Molecule: ribosomal RNA, 389 nt
Filed under: Algirosphaera sp.
Lineage: Eukaryota; Haptophyta; Syracosphaerales; Rhabdosphaeraceae
Description: partial small subunit ribosomal RNA
Rfam family: Eukaryotic small subunit ribosomal RNA
Source: RNAcentral
AUUCCAGCUCCAAUAGCGUAUACUAAAGUUGUUGCAGUUAAAACGCUCGUAGUCGGAUUUCGGGGCGGGCCGACCGGUCUGCCGAUGGGUAUGCACUGGCCGGCGCGUCCUUCCUUCCGGAGACUGCGCCUACUCUUAGCUGAGCGGGCGUGGGAGACGGAUCGUUUACUUUGAAAAAAUCAGAGUGUUUCAAGCAGGCAGCUCGCUCUUGCAUGGAUUAGCAUGGGAUAAUGAAAUAGGACUCUGGUGCUAUUUUGUUGGUUUCGAACACCGGAGUAAUGAUUAACAGGGACAGUCAGGGGCACUCGUAUUCCGUCGAGAGAGGUGAAAUUCUCAGACCAAUGGAAGACGAACCACUGCGAAAGCAUUUGCCAGGGAUGUUUUCAUUA